Bactrocera oleae (olive fruit fly) is the source of this 1904-nucleotide long non-coding RNA. RefSeq lists it as uncharacterized. The record is from RefSeq and is a predicted model, not a curated record. Lineage: Eukaryota; Metazoa; Arthropoda; Insecta; Diptera; Tephritidae.
AAGAAAGAGAAGUAAUAUAAGAAAAAAUAAACAAAUACAAAAGAAAUAGUUAACUUACUAAGUAGUGCAAGCGUUUUAUAAAACCCACUGAAUCUAGUAACUACAUAGAACCCACAAAGGCAACAAUUAAUAGUGAUGAAAAAGCGGCGUUCACUUGUUAGCGAGCGACAAAAGAAUACUCGCUUAAAUAGAAAAUAACUGAAUGCAAUUUUCAACUAGUGUUGACAGAUUGGUUUUGAAAAAAAUGUCUACAAUCAUUAACGAACGAAAUGAAUCAUAUGUCAGAGAGCUGAAUUUGGAAUUUUAUCAUAGUAGGCAUUCUUUUGCCACUCGCUUAUAAUUGAAACUAGCAUAUAAUAAAAUAUUGCAAAAAAAAAAAAAACGAAAACAAUCUCCGCAACAGAAUGUUUCAGGUUACUACUAAAACUAACUGAGAACACCGAACAGGAAUUUUUAUAUUGGUACAAGUGUAUUUUUAAGAAGCGGUAUAAUCAAACUAAAGAACCUAUUAAAAACCAACGCUAAUAAUAAAACUUAAUAUUAUUUUAUAUAAAUACAAUUUAUUACUAUUAUGAUUAUAAUCAUUAAUAUUAUCAUUGAUAUUAUUGAUAUUUUUUUUAAAGCGCUUAGCAACCCUUUAGCUAAGCAACAACUAACCGAUACAAAUCCACAGAGAGCAUUUACCAACAUCUAGGUGAACCAAUUGCUUAGAAUAAAAGUAAAAUUAGUACAUUAAAGAGCAACCUUAAUUAAUUUAUGAACAAAUUGCAACUAUGGUAUAAUAGCAACCACAAAACUAAUUUGGAACUUUAGAUAUGUAUAGGUACAUAUAAAUAUAUAUAUAAAAAAUUUUAGCAGGCUCGAGAAAAGUAAAGGAAUACUUAGUUGACUUAUCUACCACUAACUAACCAACAAACUAACUAACUAACUAAUUGAAUAAUACUAAAAUAUAUAUCGAUACUAUUUACGAGUAUUUGCCGCAGACACGGGAAGCAUACAAAUUUACACCUUUUUAUACUAAUUUUUGAGUGGUUUUCGUUUUUAAUACAACAGCAAACAUACUUAAAUACAUACAUAUAUAUAUGCAUAUAUUUGAUAUAUAAAAGAAGCUAGAAUCGUGUUCGGUGUGUUAGGCAAAUUCAAAGCAAUUACAAAUGUGUUAGCUAAACUAUAAAAAAAUAUACACCCAUGAAACAACAACAAAAAAGUAACAACAACCAUAAAGUAGAUAAUUGUGAAAGUAACUCAUAAUGAAUUGAACGUACGUUAAAGUUGACAAUUUGCUAAACAAUAAACAACAACAAUUGGAAAUAAUUAAUAAAAAAAUAAAUUGAAAUAAAAGUACUAUAAAAGAAAGUAUUGUAAUAAUAAUAAUAUUGCAUAUGUAGUCGUGAUUAAUUUUUUUGUGUAUGUAUGUAGUUACAAGUAUUAUAAAAGUAUGAAAAAAAAAAAUAAAAUAAAAAAAAUAGAAAAAAACUUGAGUAUGCAAUUUUUACAAAACAACAAACGAAAAACAAAAGCUUAGAAAAAACUUCCCAUAAAUGAAACUGAAAAGCUGAGAAAAAACAAGAAAAAAAAAAUAACAGAGAGAAAGAGGGCGUAUAGUUGUAUGGGCUAAUAAAUCUAAAUAACACAAGUAACGUUAACCUAUAAUAGAUAAUAAUAAUAAUAAUAGAGUUAUGAAAAGUAAUAAAAACUCCACUAAAACACAAUUGAUAUAGAAAAGAACAAAAAAAAUAAAUAAAAACAAUAACAAAAAAAUAAAAACAAUAAUAAAUACAUAAAUAGCAAACUUAGGAACAACUAAAUAAUCAACUACUAAAAAUAUGUUUGUAUGUCUGUACAGAAAUAAAUCACUAGAUUUUAGCAAAUGGGCAAGACAAGUAAUGCGCCAACAAAAGAAA